Rhopilema esculentum is the source of this 2768-nucleotide non-coding RNA. Lineage: Eukaryota; Metazoa; Cnidaria; Scyphozoa; Rhizostomeae; Rhizostomatidae. The record is from RefSeq and is a predicted model, not a curated record.
UUUGUUGAUAUCAUCACCAUGGAUGUCAUCCGGCUUAGGGCCUAUUCAUAUCUGCAAAUUUAUCCCACCUCUCUGCCCAUAAUCUGGUAGGUGGGAUGAAAUCAUCGAAUGUUUACAUGCAAAUUCUAUCCCACCUUCUAGUCUAUGUGCUUCCAGAUUUUAUUUACCAGUAAACGGCGUUGUUAGAAUUUUCCUGUUCAUCAUGAAAAUUUUAGAAAAAAGUAGAAAAACUUUACAUGAUCCGGAGUCCCUCAUCAUCAAGACCUCAGCUCUUAUUAAGAAAUAAACCCUAUAUGUACGUUAAAGAGCGAGGGCUUAUUUUCGCUUAGCUGACCCAAAAGGGGGUAAAAAAACAAAAGGGGUAUCAAUGAGAUUUUAAAAGGUGCCGCACCCUAUGGUCAACAGACAUCCUCCAGAAUUGAGGCAAUAUCCUAUUUUGAAGUCGUGUCCCUCAUAGCCCCAAACUCUUCACGCUUCACGUUCUUUUGUCGAUUUAAAAGAAAAGUGAAGCUUAGAGGUUGCUUCAUCGUUUGAAAGCAGGCCGCGGUUCAACGCCGAAAACAGCAAACAAUGGGGUAAAGUUCGUGCGGAAUAUGACAAGGGACGAGUGAUAGCUGUCAUUUUCAUUGCAGUCUUUGUGGUCAGGAUAAAGUAGACCUAAACACUGAACACAAUGUUUUGAAGAAUGAGAUUUUCGGAGGGACGAGCUAGCUUCAUGCAACAAAUCAAGAAUCUGUCUCAGCUUGUCGUUUGAAAUCAUUUGAGGUUUUACACUGAAGCAGUGGUUUAUAUGAAUAUUGAAGCCGAGCUGGCGGGCUUGUGUGGCAAAACGCUGUGGAUCUGGGGUAUAGGCUAUCAAUCGAUUGUUACCAGGAAGCCUAAUUUGAUGCUUCAAAGUGAUGGAAAGUGCUCUUAGAAAACGGCAUCAGACAAGCGAGCAUCACUUGAGUUUCCAAAGGAAAAAUGAUAGCCAUUGAAGCCAAUUGUGGUUUAGUGAUGAUUUGAUUUUUUGUUGGUGGCUCGAUUGUAAAGACACCCAAACGUGAAAGAGAAACUCAAGCAAGAUGGCUACUGCACAUGCAGGAAUUGACUACUAUGGCAACGCAUGAAUUAAAAGUUGAAUUGACAACAGCGUGUUAUGGAGACCUCGUAGUGUCAUUCGGAUAUUUGAGAUUAUUUAGUUACUGGUAGUCCUACAUUGCUUGUAACUCAACUUUGAGCUGCAUUUCUUCUGGUUUGACAAUUAUCUAGCCAUUUCUCUAUCUUUCUUGAGAUAAGGACGAUUUACUGUGGAACUGUUGAGGCAACUGGAGACUAGAAAAGUUCUAGAUAGCGUGGCACCACACGUUUGGAGUAGAGUCUCAAGUACGCCGGAAUGGCCGCUAUACUUAUGUUAUCAAAAGUAACGUUUUUUACUCUUAUGGUUGUACACUUUACUCCACAAAGAAUCGCUGCAACUCUCCGGAAGUCACCAUAUCCGUGCUUUCGUCAUGUCAAGGUUUUGCAGAACAGGACCGCGAAGGAUGACAUGCCUAACAUUUUGAAGCGUAGUCUAGAACAAGAAGCUUCAAAAAUUGAACGUUAUAUCGUUUCGAUCCCAUCCCACAAACAUUUGUGUGAGUAUAUCCAGAAGAAACUUAUCGUAGUUUUUCAUAGGCUUUACAACCUGGAGAUCGACAUAUUUGAUAUGGAGAGGAAACUGACAAAUAUUAGCAAAGACGGCAACGGAAAAACUGCUCUUGACUUCAAGGAAAAGCUCUAUCUUCUAUCAAUUGAUGAUUUGAUAAGUAAAGUCGUAUUGAUUAAGAGAGAAAACUGUCAACUAAAGGGAGGUAAAUUCGUGGAAAAGACUCUUGAAUGCGCAUUAACAUCCAAUGAAGGAUUUGAUAAGAAUUCUACAUCUCCAGAAGUUCCUUUGUCGCAUCCAGCAUGGCUUGGGUUGGCUGUCUUUGGAAAUAUUGUCAGCAUUCUAAGUCAACUAAUUCUGUUUGUAAUUUAUUGGAAAACCACAGGACUUGAAAUGAUUUUUCCCAGAAAAUGUGUACUGCAUUUAUGUGCAUUGCAAUUUCUGCUACAGUUACUCCAACUGACUUCGUUGUAUGUCAACAAGGUCCUUCAUAUUUGCACCGGGAUAUCAAUUCUUUCCCACUGGGUAGCUCUGUGCACCUUCGUGUGGUUGAGUUGCAUAUCGUUCGAAAUUAACUGGUUGCUCAGUCGACAAUGCAUGUUGAACAAGGAGGAGCGUUUAGUUGGUUACAGUUCAGUUUCUUUCGGCCUUACAGCAAUCAUAGUACUGAGUUGUACUAUCUUGCAUUUUUCGAGCGGGAGGUCAAUAGGCUAUGGAAAUGGGCCCUUAUGCUUUGUUGGCGAUAGAUGGACCAUGUUUUACUCAUUUCUGCUUCCAACCAGCAUUUUAUUGUUGAGUAAUAUAGCCUUGACUCUUUGUAGCUACAGGAGGUGUGCUGCUCCUUCAAAAUCUAAUCUGCAACAAGAAACUGAUGGAGAAUCAAAUACCCGCAAUAAACUAUCGUUUAUAUAUAGCAGUCUUCUUGUGUCUUUCGUGAUAUUGCUGUGCAGAAUCCUAGAGACAGUUUCUGUGCGUUAUUCUAUAGUUUACUGCAUGACUGUUGUUCUGACAAGUUUACAUGGCGUUUUCAUUUUAAUCGCAAUGGUUGCAAACAGGAAAGUUCUCAGUGCAGCUAGAAGCGCUUUUUCCAGAAAGAAAAGAGACCGCGUUACUUACGCGCACAAACUGCGGGAUCAGAGAG